UCCAGACUCCUACGGGAGGCAGCAGUGGGGAAUAUUGCACAAUGGGGGAAACCCUGAUGCAGCGACGCCGCGUGAGUGAAGAAGUAUUUCGGUAUGUAAAGCUCUAUCAGCAGGGAAGAAAAUGACGGUACCUGACUAAGAAGCCCCGGCUAACUACGUGCCAGCAGCCGCGGUAAUACGUAGGGGGCAAGCGUUAUCCGGAUUUACUGGGUGUAAAGGGAGCGUAGACGGCAUGGCAAGUCAGAUGUGAAAGCCCGGGGCUCAACCCCGGGGCUGCAUUUGAAACUGUCAGGCUGGAGUGCAGGAGAGGUAAGUGGAAUUCCUAGUGUAGCGGUGAAAUGCGUAGAUAUUAGGAGGAACACCAGUGGCGAAGGCGGCUUACUGGACUGUAGCUGACGUUGAGGCUCGAAAGCGUGGGGAGCAAACAGGAUUAGAUACCCCGUA
RNAcentral lists this ribosomal RNA (444 nucleotides) under uncultured bacterium. Its description in RNAcentral is "bacterial SSU rRNA". It matches the Rfam family "Bacterial small subunit ribosomal RNA", at positions 330 to 791 of the family's 1533-position model. The record is from RNAcentral.